GAUGAACGCUAGCGGCAGGCCUAAUACAUGCAAGUCGAACGGUAAGGCCCUUUCGGGGUACACGAGUGGCGGACGGGUGCGUAACGCGUAUGCAACAUGCCUUCCAGCGGGGGAUAUACCAGGGAAACUUGGCGCAAUACCCCAUAGAAUUACGGGACCGCAUGGUCUUGUGAUUAAAACUCCGGUGCUGGGAGAUUGGCAUGCGUGACAUUAGCUAGUUGGUGGGGUAAUGGCUCACCAAGGCAACGAUCAGUAUCCGGCCUGAGAGGGCGGACGGACACACUGGGACUGAGACACGGCCCAGACUCCUACGGGAGGCAGCAGUGAGGAAUAUUGGUCAAUGGGCGCAAGCCUGAACCAGCCAUCCCGCGUGCAGGAAGACGGCCCUAUGGGUUGUAAACUGCUUUUCCAGGGAGAGAAACUUGCGUACGCGUUGCGCAAUUGACGGUACCCUGGGAAUAAGCAUCGGCUAACUCCGUGCCAGCAGCCGACGG
This 494-nucleotide ribosomal RNA is filed under the name uncultured bacterium. Its description in RNAcentral is "bacterial SSU rRNA". It matches the Rfam family "Bacterial small subunit ribosomal RNA", at positions 28 to 520 of the family's 1533-position model. The record is from RNAcentral.